Molecule: ribosomal RNA, 253 nt
Filed under: uncultured bacterium
Lineage: Bacteria
Description: partial 16S ribosomal RNA
Rfam family: Bacterial small subunit ribosomal RNA
Source: RNAcentral
UACGAAGGGUGCAAGCGUUACUCGGAAUUACUGGGCGUAAAGCGUGCGUAGGUGGUGAGUUAAGUCUGUCGUGAAAGCCCCGGGCUCAACCUGGGAAUGGCGAUGGAUACUGGCUCGCUAGAGUGCGGUAGAGGAGACUGGAAUUCCUGGUGUAGCGGUGAAAUGCGCAGAUAUCAGGAGGAACACCGGUGGCGAAGGCGGGUCUCUGGGCCGAUACUGACGCUGAGGAGCGAAAGCGUGGGGAGCGAACAGG